GCAUAUCAAUAAGCGGAGGAAAAGAAACCAACAGGGAUUGCCCCCAGUAACGGCGAGUGAAGCGGCAAAAGCUCAAAUUUGAAAUCUGGCUCCUUAGGGGUCCGAGUUGUAAUUUGUAGAGGAUGCUUCGGGUGCGGCCACGGUCUAAGUUCCUUGGAACAGGACGUCAUAGAGGGUGAGAAUCCCGUCUUGGGCCGUUGGUCCACGCCCGUGUGAAGCUCCUUCGACGAGUCGAGUUGUUUGGGAAUGCAGCUCUAAGCGGGUGGUAAAUUUCAUCUAAAGCUAAAUAUUGGCCGGAGACCGAUAGCGCACAAGUAGAGUGAUCGAAAGGUUAAAAGCACCUUGAAAAGGGAGUUAAACAGCACGUGAAAUUGUUGAAAGGGAAGCGCUUGCGGCCAGACUCGGGCGCGGGGUUCAGCGGGUGCGCGUCACCCGUGCACUCCCCGCCGCCCGGGCCAGCAUCAGUUCUGACGACCGGUCAAAGGCCCCCGGAAUGUGUCGUCUCUCGGGACGUCUUAUAGCCGGGGGUGCAAUGCGGCCCGUCGGGACUGAGGAACGCGCUUCGGCUCGGAUGCUGGCGUAAUGGCCGUAAGCGGCCCGUCUUGAAACACGGACCAAGGAGUCUAACAUCCACGCGAGUGUUCGGGUGUCAAACCCGUGCGCGCAGUGAAAGCGAACGGAGGUGGGAGCCUUAGGGCGCACCAUCGACCGAUCCUGAAGUCUUCGGAUGGAUUUGAGUAGGAGCGUGGCCGUUGGGACCCGAAAGAUGGUGAACUAUGCCUGAAUAGGGUGAAGCCAGAGGAAACUCUGGUGGAGGCUCGCAGCGGUUCUGACGUGCAAAUCGAUCGUCAAAUUUGGGCAUAGGGGCGAAAGACUAAUCGAACCAUCUAGUAGCUGGUUCCUGCG
RNAcentral lists this ribosomal RNA (906 nucleotides) under Onygena corvina. RNAcentral describes it as "LSU rRNA". It matches the Rfam family "Eukaryotic large subunit ribosomal RNA", at positions 38 to 962 of the family's 3401-position model. Lineage: Eukaryota; Fungi; Ascomycota; Eurotiomycetes; Onygenales; Onygenaceae. The record is from RNAcentral.